UUUAUAGCAAUGCACUAGAGAGUAUAAGCAAAGUAUCUAACAGCGACAAAAUCAUUUGGUGUGAGAUUUUGAGGACUUUGACUUAGAAAGUAGCUAGUGGGCUUUGUCGGUGAAUAUUGUAGUAGCCGAUGACGUGAGGACGCGUUAAGUCAAAAUGAGAUAGAGAAUAAACUCUAAUUCAGGUGGUACCGCGAUAAUUUCGCCCUGAAC
RNAcentral lists this non-coding RNA (210 nucleotides) under Weissella paramesenteroides. RNAcentral describes it as "T-box sequence". It matches the Rfam family "T-box leader". From Rfam's summary of the family: Uncharged tRNA acts as the effector for transcription antitermination of genes in the T-box leader family. T-boxes are found upstream of many aminoacyl-tRNA synthetase genes and some amino acid biosynthetic genes usually in Gram-positive bacteria. The record is from RNAcentral. Lineage: Bacteria; Bacillati; Bacillota; Bacilli; Lactobacillales; Lactobacillaceae.